Molecule: ribosomal RNA, 116 nt
Filed under: Pteropus alecto (black flying fox)
Lineage: Eukaryota; Metazoa; Chordata; Mammalia; Chiroptera; Pteropodidae
Source: RNAcentral
GUCUACGGCCACGCCACCCUGAACAAGCCCGAUGUCUGAUCUCGGAAGCUAAGCAGGGUUGGGCCUGGUUGGUACUUGGAUGGGAGACCACCUAGAAAGACCAGGUGCUGUAGCAU